AUUGAACGCUGGCGGCAGGCUUAACACAUGCAAGUCGAGCGGAGUGAUGGUGCUUGCACCAUCACUUAGCGGCGAACGGGUGAGUAAUGCCUAGGAAUCUGCCCAUUAGCGGGGGACAACGUGUGGAAACGCACGCUAAUACCGCAUACGCCCUACGGGGGAAAGCAGGGGACUCUUUGAGCCUUGCACUAAUGGAUGAGCCUAGGUCAGAUUAGCUAGUUGGUGGGGUAAAGGCCUACCAAGGCGACGAUCUGUAGCGGGUCUGAGAGGAUGAUCCGCCACACUGGAACUGAGACACGGUCCAUACUCCUACGGGAGGCGGCAGUGGGGAAUAUUGGACAAUGGGCGCAAGCGUGAUCCAGCCAUGCCGCGUGUGUGAAGAAGGCCUUUUGGUUGUAAAGCACUUUAAGCGAGGAGGAGGCUUACCUGGUUAAUACCUGGGAUAAGUGGACGUUACUCGCAGAAUAAGCACCGGCUGACUCGGUG
Molecule: ribosomal RNA, 486 nt
Filed under: uncultured bacterium
Lineage: Bacteria
Description: partial 16S ribosomal RNA
Rfam family: Bacterial small subunit ribosomal RNA
Source: RNAcentral